GCCCGCUGGCCAAUCCAGAGCCACGUCAUUUAUUGAGCGACAUUAAUUUCAACCAGUGAGCAGUGGUGACGUGUGUGAUUGAAAUUUAAAUUGACCAGUAGGGAUGAUGAGUAUCUUCGUAAAUACCACUUGAAAGAAUUGCAACCUAUGAAAUAUUGAAUUUCCUAUUCUAAAGGCGUUUGCGAAGGAAUUACUGGAUGAUAUCUAAAAGCAGUGAAAGACAGCAGUUCAGGUUUACUGUCGGCGUAAAAAUCCAAUCGCAGGGCUUGUAAACUUUCACAAUACCUUCACAAUGCAUUAUAAUGGUCAGUACAUGCUUCUGGAGGAUUGCCGGAGACAGGGAUGGCGAGCGCAGUGCCGUCCAGUGCAAGUAGGCUGCAGAGGCUUCGCCGGCUGCUCUCUCUAUAGAGUUUACACCUUGCUGGGCAUGAGUGGGCCACUCAGAAGGACAGCCAUCAGAACUGCAAUUAAGGCAGCAGAAAGAACUUCAAGGUGGCUAUAGAUUAAGAAGGGUGACCGUUGCUUAAUGCUACUGGGACGCAAAAAGGGGCUUGAUCAACCCUGGCUGGGUCAUCUGGGUGAAGCUGUAUGAUGUCGUGAGACCAGCUGAAACACGCUAUGAGCCCAGGAAACAUCACGGAUGAUGCGUCCCAGCACAUCCAGAAUACCCAUCUUCAUUCAUUGGUGUUCCAUAGCUGUCGGCCCAGCACUGGGUGCAGUGAACCUGCAGCCUGUCCAAGAGUGGAAAGGGCAGACGGCAGUGUAUGCAGGACACUCAGUUGGUGGUGGAAAUCCAGCUCACAACC
Brienomyrus brachyistius is the source of this 806-nucleotide long non-coding RNA. RefSeq lists it as uncharacterized. The record is from RefSeq and is a predicted model, not a curated record. The transcript has 3 exons. NCBI's taxonomy places the organism in Eukaryota, Metazoa, Chordata, Actinopteri, Osteoglossiformes, Mormyridae.